UGGGKGGCGCCGCUGGGAKGGUUUYUCCCACAMCSGGGAAUGARCACCUGCCCCARMUUCYUMGGGGAGGCAUCRUUAGGWAUUYUUCGCAAAGGAARAAAUCUGGACGAACMACGCCGYGGAKUGAAGAAGUUUUUUGGAAURGAAAAGUUCUGUUGUUAGGAAAGAACAAKUCCCUUUGAAUAGGGCGGUACUUGACGGUACCUAACCAGAAAGCCAGGGCUAACUACGUGCCAGCAGCCGCGGUAAUACGUAGGUGGCAAGCGUUGUCCGGAAUUAUUGGGCGUAAAGGGCUCGCAGGCGGUUUCUUAAGUCUGAUGUGAAAGCCCCCGGCUCAACCGGGGAGGGUCAUUGGAAACUGGGGAACUUGAGUGCAGAAGAGGAGAGUGGAAUUCCACGUGUAGCGGUGAAAUGCGUAGAGAUGUGGAGGAACACCAGUGGCGAAGGCGACUCUCUGGUCUGUAACUGACGCUGAGGAGCGAAAGCGUGGGGAGCGAACAGGAUUAGAUACCCUGGUAGUCCACGCCGUAAACGAUGAGUGCUAAGUGUUAGGGGGUUUCCGCCCCUUAGUGCUGCAGCUAACGCAUUAAGCACUCCGCCUGGGGAGUACGGUCGCAAGACUGAAACUCAAAGGAAUUGACGGGGGCCCGCACAAGCGGUGGAGCAUGUGGUUUAAUUYGAAGCAACGCGAAGAACCUUACCAGGUCUUGACAUCCUCUGACAAUCCUAGAGAUAGGACGUCCCCUUCGGGGGCAGAGUGACAGGUGGUGCAUGGUUGUCGUCAGCUCGUGUCGUGAGAUGUUGGGUUAAGUCCCGCAACGAGCGCAACCCUUGAUCUUAGU
RNAcentral lists this ribosomal RNA (842 nucleotides) under Bacillus safensis. RNAcentral's name for it is "partial 16S ribosomal RNA". Lineage: Bacteria; Bacillati; Bacillota; Bacilli; Caryophanales; Bacillaceae. The record is from RNAcentral.